UACCAGCACCCCGAGUGGUCGGGACGAUUAUUGGGCCUAAAGCAUCCGUAGCCGGUCCUGCAAGUCUUCCGUUAAAUCCAGCUGCUCAACAGAUGGGCUGCGGGGGAUACUACAGGGCUAGGAGGCGGGAGAGGCAAGCGGUACUUUAUGGGUAGGGGUAAAAUCCGUUGAUCCAUGGAAGACCACCAGUGGCGAAGGCGGCUUGCCAGAACGCGCUCGACGGUGAGGGAUGAAAGCUGGGGGAGCAAACCGG
RNAcentral lists this ribosomal RNA (253 nucleotides) under uncultured bacterium. Its description in RNAcentral is "partial 16S ribosomal RNA". It matches the Rfam family "Archaeal small subunit ribosomal RNA", at positions 474 to 727 of the family's 1478-position model. The record is from RNAcentral.